CCUACAGUCUAUCUGGCAAAAGCUGGGAACUGAAGGCCAGACUGGGCUCUGUCCCAGCUUCUCCUGGAGCCAGAAGCUUGGCGUUGGGACUGCUCUGACUGCCUGAACAGAGACUAUGUGAGGCCAGCUUCCCUGAUGGAGAGACCCCCAAAUCCUUCAUUACCACCGCCCCCAACACUGCCUUCACCAUCAGAACUUCUAGAAACAGCCUCACAUCCAAGCCAGGAAGAUGUGACAAGCCGAAGGCCGGGAAGAUGGUACAGCCUCUGAAGCAGUUGUCCCGCAGACACAAGGGCCCAGGUUUGGUUUCUCCAGAGUCCAGUUGUCAACUCGCAAGUCACCUUCUGAAAGAGUCUUUGGCCAUCCUGCCUGCACUAGUAUGCCCAACCCCAACCAUCACCCAGCCUACUGGCCAAGCAACUGGAUGUCAUCUCACCGAUUCUCACUGUUCAUACGUGCCUCUCUUACUAGACUGUGGGUCUCUUGUCAGGACAGUAUAAAACACAUGGGACAGCCACAUUGACUGAGGACACCUUGAUCUUAACUUGAUCGGCCCUGCAAAGGCCCUGUUUAAAGAGGACAACUUGCUGGUGUCAAUUCUCUCUUUCCACCAUGUGAGUCCCAAGGAUGGAACUCUGACAGUGGGACUUGGCAGUGGGCUUCUUCACCUGCUGAACCUCCUUGCUGGCCCAAGAAAGAGCUCUUAGGAUAAUCAGAUGCAACCAACAACAUGAUUUCACAGCAACAUCUCCUCUAUGAGGGAUUCCUGGCAAAAAGCAUGUGAAAAUCUGCUUCUUGGCCAUCCUCUGUCACUAAAGGACUGCAGAUGGGAACAAUGACACAACAUUAGGAAUAUGCACACCUAUGGGAAUGGGCAAAUUAAACAAUAAGUAAAUACAAGGGCAGUUCUCUCUGCUGGUGAGGAUCCAGGCAAUGGGAACUUGCAGAGACAGGCAGGAGAUGCUCUUUGGAGGACUCACAGAGCUGACUGUAGCCUUGCCAAGGGUUCAUAAUCACACCCCUGGCUGCAGUCCCUACAAUAAAACCU
Long non-coding RNA from Mesocricetus auratus (golden hamster), 1048 nucleotides. RefSeq lists it as uncharacterized. The transcript is spliced from 5 exons. The record is from RefSeq and is a predicted model, not a curated record. Lineage: Eukaryota; Metazoa; Chordata; Mammalia; Rodentia; Cricetidae.